GCCCGGUCCUGGAUGACGUGGCGUCGGGGCGGCCUGCGACAGGGCACGCGUGUGUGCCACCCAUAUGCGUGUUAAAGUGUCGGCGCGACCCGUGCAUGCCCAACACGGCCUUCGCGCUGCCUACUGGUUGGGGGCCCUGGGCCACCCCGAGGCAGAUGGCCCGGGUGGCGACCGGCGCCAUCGGGGCGACCGUGGCGCGUCCAGCGGGGCGGGUGGCGGGCUGAAUGUGGGACGCGGGCCGUGCUCAGGUGGCUGCGCCGGCGUUGCCGCAGCACGUGCUUAGGGUUGCUUUUCCCCAGCCGCUGGGGCCCGCGAUGAGCAGGGCAACAUGGAGUUCGGCUUCAAGUUCACUGGAAAAAGCGCGC
This 365-nucleotide unclassified non-coding RNA is filed under the name Leishmania donovani. Its description in RNAcentral is "gene:unknown". Lineage: Eukaryota; Euglenozoa; Kinetoplastea; Trypanosomatida; Trypanosomatidae. The record is from RNAcentral.